RNAcentral lists this ribosomal RNA (563 nucleotides) under Cladobotryum mycophilum. Its description in RNAcentral is "eukaryotic LSU rRNA". It matches the Rfam family "Eukaryotic large subunit ribosomal RNA", at positions 62 to 648 of the family's 3401-position model. The record is from RNAcentral. Lineage: Eukaryota; Fungi; Ascomycota; Sordariomycetes; Hypocreales; Hypocreaceae.
AAACCAACAGGGAUUGCCCCAGUAACGGCGAGUGAAGCGGCAACAGCUCAAAUUUGAAAUCUGGCCCCUCGGGCCCGAGUUGUAAUUUGUAGAGGAUGCUUUUGGCAAGGUGCCGCCCGAGUUCCCUGGAACGGGACGCCGCAGAGGGUGAGAGCCCCGUCUGGCUGGCCACCGAGCCUCUGUAAAGCUCCUUCGACGAGUCGAGUAGUUUGGGAAUGCUGCUCAAAAUGGGAGGUAUAUGUCUUCUAAAGCUAAAUAUUGGCCAGAGACCGAUAGCGCACAAGUAGAGUGAUCGAAAGAUGAAAAGCACUUUGAAAAGAGGGUUAAACAGUACGUGAAAUUGUUGAAAGGGAAGCGCUCAUGACCAGACUUGGGCUUGGCGAAUCAUCCGGCGUUCUCGCCGGUGCACUUCGCCUCGCCCAGGCCAGCAUCAGUUCGCGCCGGGGGACAAAAGCUUCGGGAAUGUGGCUCCUCCGGGAGUGUUAUAGCCCGUUGCAUAAUACCCUGGGGCGGACUGAGGUUCGCGCAUCUGCAAGGAUGCUGGCGUAAUGGUCAUCAGCGAC